GAAAGUAGUGGCGAGCGAAAUCGGAACAGCCUGCACGUUUUAGCAAUCGACUUAUCAGAACGGUCUGGAAAGUCCGGCCACAGCGGGUGAUAGCCCCGUAUGGAAAAAGUCGGUUGUGGAACUAGGCGUGCGACAAGUAGGGCGGGACACGUGUAAUCCUGUCUGAAUAUGGGGGGACCAUCCUCCAAGGCUAAAUACUCGUAAUCGACCGAUAGCGAACAAGUACCGUGAGGGAAAGGCGAAAAGAACCCCGGGAGGGGAGUGAAAUAGAUCCUGAAACCGCAUGCAUACAAAAAGUCGGAGCCCGCAAGGGUGACGGCGUACCUUUUGUAUAAUGGGUCAGCGACUUACAUUCAGUGGCAAGCUUAACCGAAUAGGGAAGGCGCAGGGAAACCGAGUCCGAAUAGGGCGUUCAGUCGCUGGGUGUAGACCCGAAACCAGGUGAUCUAUCCAUGGCCAGGAUGAAGGUACCGUAACAGGUGCUGGAGGUCCGAACCGACUAGUGUUGCAAAACUAGCGGAUGAGCUGUGGAUAGGGGUGAAAGGCUAAA
This 550-nucleotide ribosomal RNA is filed under the name uncultured bacterium. RNAcentral describes it as "bacterial LSU rRNA". It matches the Rfam family "Bacterial large subunit ribosomal RNA", at positions 239 to 833 of the family's 2925-position model. The record is from RNAcentral.